RNAcentral lists this ribosomal RNA (260 nucleotides) under uncultured bacterium. Its description in RNAcentral is "partial 16S ribosomal RNA". It matches the Rfam family "Bacterial small subunit ribosomal RNA", at positions 524 to 784 of the family's 1533-position model. The record is from RNAcentral.
UACAGAGGGUGCAAGCGUUGCUCGGAAUUACUGGGCGUAAAGCGUGAGUAGGCGGCCUGUCAAGUGGGUGUGAAAGCCCUGGGCUCAACCUGGGAACUGCAUCCAGAACUGCCAAGCUAGAGUAUGGUAGAGGGCAGUGGAAUUUCCGGUGUAGCGGUGAAAUGCGUAGAGAUCGGAAGGAACACCAGUGGCGAAGGCGACUGCCUGGACCAAUACUGACGCUGAGGUGCGAAAGCGUGGGGAGCAAACAGGAUUAGAUA